Molecule: long non-coding RNA, 843 nt
Organism: Saccostrea cuccullata (small rock oyster)
Lineage: Eukaryota; Metazoa; Mollusca; Bivalvia; Ostreida; Ostreidae
Exons: 6
Source: RefSeq, a predicted model, not a curated record
GGUCAGGGUUUGGCUGUUGUGUAUUCCCAGAUGAUUAGUGGACUGCAGCCUGCCAGAAGAAGUGCGCAGAGUUCAGGGACGUACUGCGGCCAACUCCGGCGUUGAAGGUAUGGGGUUGGACUGGCCUGGUUGCAUUGAAGAAGAGCAGACCGUCACCAGUAGGCAGCAGUUGUGUGAUGCACUGCGGUCAAUCCCUGACGUGCAGCAGGAGAGGAGGUGUAUGCUGACCCGGGAGGAUCCCAACAGCAGUCAAGUAGAGAAGAUGAGGACGCGCAGGAAGCAGCAGAGCCCAGCCCAGCCCUUCGCAGCCCAGCCCAGCAGAUGAUCCAGUGCAGCCCAACCCAGCCAGCCCAGCCCACCAGAGGAUCCAAUGCCGCAACCAGGCAGCCUAACAGAGAAGCAUUUUGAAUUUAUUUCUUUCCUUCUGUCUCUCCUCUGUCUUCUGAGCACUUUCCUAAUCUAACAGUACUAACCAUCCCCUACCCCUUAACAUUGAUUUUGUUGUAAUUUCCUUGAAUUUGUGUGCUUUGUUUCAUUGUUUUGAAUGUUUACUAAUCUCGUCUCAGUUGUAUAUUUUCAGGCACUCGGACGUGGUACAACGCAGGAGCACCCAGCCAGCCUCCACCCAGCCAGCCACAGAUGAAGAGGAAGGAGCCCAUUGCCCAGCUUUGUCUAGCGGCUUACAUUUGCCAAGGCGGAGCGUCGAUCCCACUGAGACGUUGAGCAGCAUUCUGGGAAGCAAGGAUCGACUGCGACCGCACAUUGAAGAGAGGAUAUGCAGUGUAAUGCAUCCCUCUGUUCACAGUCCUUUGAAGAGGAGUCUGCCAACCCAGGGACGGUAAG